AACGAACGCUGGCGGCAUGCCUAGCACAUGCAAGUCGAACGCCCGUAGCAAUACGGGAGUGGCAGACGGGUGCAUAACACGUGGGAACCUACCCUAGGGUUCGGAAUAACCGCGGGAAACUGCGGCUAAUACCGGAUACGUCCUCUGGGAGAAAGAUUUAUCGCCCUUGGAGGGGCCCGCGUCGGAUUAGCUAGUUGGUGAGGUAACGGCUCACCAAGGCGACGAUCCGUAGCUGAUCUGAGAGGAUGAUCAGCCACACUGGAACUGAGACACGGUCCAGACUCCUACGGGAGGCGGCAGUGGGGAAUAUUGGACAAUGGGCGCGAGCCUGAUCCAGCAAUGCCGCGUGGGCGAUGAAGGCCUUCGGGUUGUAAAGCCCUUUUGGCAGGGACGAUGAUGACGGUACCUGCAGAAUAAGCCCCGGCUAACUUCGUGCCAGCCGCCGCGGUAA
This 451-nucleotide ribosomal RNA is filed under the name uncultured bacterium. RNAcentral's name for it is "partial 16S ribosomal RNA". It matches the Rfam family "Bacterial small subunit ribosomal RNA", at positions 29 to 523 of the family's 1533-position model. The record is from RNAcentral.